GAUGAACGCUGGCGGCGUGCCUAAUACAUGCAAGUCGAGCGAACAGACGAGGAGCUUGCUCCUCUGACGUUAGCGGCGGACGGGUGAGUAACACGUGGAUAACCUACCUAUAAGACUGGGAUAACUUCGGGAAACCGGAGCUAAUACCGGAUAAUAUAUUGAACCGCAUGGUUCAAUAGUGAAAGACGGUUUUGCUGUCACUUAUAGAUGGUCCGCGCCGCAUUAGCUAGUUGGUAAGGUAACGGCUUACCAAGGCGACGAUGCGUAGCCGACCUGAGAGGGUGAUCGGCCACACUGGAACUGAGACACGGUCCAGACUCCUACGGGAGGCAGCAGUAGGGAAUCUUCCGCAAUGGGCGAAAGCCUGACGGAGCAACGCCGCGUGAGUGAUGAAGGUCUUCGGAUCGUAAAACUCUGUUAUUAGGGAAGAACAAAUGUGUAAGUAACUAUGCACGUCUUGACGGUACCUAAUCAGAAAGCCACGGCUAACUACGUG
This 496-nucleotide ribosomal RNA is filed under the name uncultured bacterium. RNAcentral's name for it is "partial 16S ribosomal RNA". It matches the Rfam family "Bacterial small subunit ribosomal RNA", at positions 28 to 507 of the family's 1533-position model. The record is from RNAcentral.